Molecule: transfer RNA, 85 nt
Filed under: Eubacteriales Family XIII. Incertae Sedis bacterium
Lineage: Bacteria; Bacillati; Bacillota; Clostridia; Peptostreptococcales; Anaerovoracaceae
Description: tRNA-Tyr
Rfam family: tRNA
About the family: Transfer RNA (tRNA) molecules are approximately 80 nucleotides in length. Their secondary structure includes four short double-helical elements and three loops (D, anti-codon, and T loops). Further hydrogen bonds mediate the characteristic L-shaped molecular structure. tRNAs have two regions of fundamental functional importance: the anti-codon, which is responsible for specific mRNA codon recognition, and the 3' end, to which the tRNAs corresponding amino acid is attached (by aminoacyl-tRNA synthetases). tRNAs cope with the degeneracy of the genetic code in two manners: having more than one tRNA (with a specific anti-codon) for a particular amino acid; and 'wobble' base-pairing, i.e. permitting non-standard base-pairing at the 3rd anti-codon position.
Source: RNAcentral
GGAGGGAUUCCCGAGUGGCCAAAGGGGGCGGACUGUAAAUCCGUUGCGUAACGCUUCGAAGGUUCAAAUCCUUCUCCCUCCACCA